This is a long non-coding RNA of Capsicum annuum, 1003 nucleotides long. RefSeq lists it as uncharacterized. The transcript has 4 exons. Lineage: Eukaryota; Viridiplantae; Streptophyta; Magnoliopsida; Solanales; Solanaceae. The record is from RefSeq and is a predicted model, not a curated record.
UCCUCCACAUAGUUGGGAGGGGGAGAAUUGUUGGGUCAUGGGCCUUUGUCCCUUCCUAUGUGGAUAAAAUGUAGCCCAAUUUAUUGGACCAGCCCACUUUUCCCAUAGCCCAAUUAUAUGGGGAAUAUAUAUUGACCUUUUCAGGUCUUAUUCUGAACAUACACAGAAAAAACUUCUUCAGCCACACUAAAAAAGGAUCAGAGAGUUCAGAUUUUCGCCUAGAAAAAUUCAGCCACAGUAGUCAUCUUUAAACUGCGAUUCCCGCUUCGUUUCUUGUCUGAUUGAGCUGAUUUUUGGAUUGCAUAUUCCUAUCAUCUCGAUCUUUGAUUAGGAAUUGGAAGAGUUUGAUUUGGUGGCCUGUGGCUUCUGUUUUUCAUCUCUGAACAACAGCUACGUUUUUGACUUGAAUGUGUAAUUCUCAAUUACUUGUCUCAGGGAGGUCUCUAUCAGACUAUUGAGGCUUUCUCCAACGAAAUUCAGGUUAAUCAAAAUUAUGAUGCCAUUAAUUCUCCCCACGAAGCAUUUCUGCUAGCUUGGUGGAGUAAAUUCUAUAAAGCAUACUAAUCGAAGUUCCCUGAGGAGGCUGCAUUGGCCACUGAUUCCUUUAUUAAGGUCGCGCAGAUGGUGGAACAUGUUGUGGCAAUUAACAGUUUGCUUCAUGGUAGUCCAUCCGUCACCACUAACAGUUCUAAUAUAUAUAUAACAAUUACAUGUAGAGAAAAGAAGGACACACUUACAAGGAGGUUUGGGCCACAGGUGACAAAAGAGUUUUAAAAUGAGGUGUAGGUGACACAAGUCUUAAUUAUUAGUUGGAGGUGACAAUUACUUUAUUAUGGAUUAAGAAAGUUGGAAAAGUUUGAAAAUAGCCCACAAGUUUUUAAAUUUAUACUUUGAUCUCAAUGUUUAUCUAAAAUAACAGAAAACGGAGGGGGAAAAAGGCGUCUUUCUCUCUCUUAUUGUUCAUUUCUUCUUCUGCUUUAUUCAUCAUCUUCUGCUUCAUUAU